UUGAAUCAUAGCAGUUCACUGAGUGCUUUGGCCUUGCCACAGCAGGUGCAGAGUAAUGCUAAAAUGCUGAGGUCCAAGAGGGCAAGGUGAACGAGGAUGUGAUCUCUCAUGUCAGUAAUCAGCAGCUCUACAGGAGUCUGGCCCGUCUGUCUGCUAUUUCACUGUCUGGGCGAUUGUGAAUAAACGGGUGUGCCACCAAACGUGCAACCAUGAUCACUUUAGCUCAGCCUCAGUUUAAUAAAACACCGGCCUGGUAAUAUUUUGAAUUGCAGGCUGAGGUUGCAGAGAGGUCGGGCUGAAUGGAGGCUGAAAGAGCUGCACUGUGCUAACGUUUAAACAAUGGUUGGCUGGCUAACGUUAGCUGAUGUUACCACAAAGCGGCGAGCCCCCCUCCUUCCCGGUGAAAACAACUAGUUAGCUUCAAGAUAAAAUAUGAAAAAUGCUAAAACCGAAGCUGGGAUUUUAAACGACCUCGCCAGUCAUUUUAAACUAAGUCCCUAACGCCGCGGGAAGCUUUAAACGCCAGUUAAAGGUAACUUAGCUACAUUUGCUAACGUUGCUGAAACAGGGGGGUGGAGAUUUGUGUUUUGGUGAGCGACUCCCCAGAUGUGGAGCUUUGGAGCGUGUUCCUUCGCACCGCCAGCUGUGCCGGGGCUGGUCCCGUCUCAACAGCGGCAGACACGGAGACGUUUCACGGCGAGCCAGGAGGAGGCAACCGGAGGGCAAGGGCAGCGGAUUUGGAGCCUAUCCCAAAAUGCAUAAACAGAAGGAAGGGAAAUCCUCAGGGACUGUUUCCAAAGCUGCCGCAAGGAUUAUAAGGUCUCACCGGUCGACAAACAUGGUGGGAGAAUCCGACCGGGUGCUCUCCAGAUCAGUCAUAGCGUUCCACUCAUUGAGGCAGCUCUGCUCUGAAGUGAUGCAGCUCUCGUAGAAGGCCAUCCAUGUAAACAUGAAGAACUUACUCACCACAUGGCCUGCACAGAUACAGGCUUGAAGACAUGUGAUCGCCCUGCCGUGUUCACACUGAAGCCUCUAAGGAGGAAGAAGAAGAAGAAGAGGAGGAAGAGGAGGUGAGUUUGGAUGGAGGUGAAGCGUGACGAGGGGGAUGUAAACACAGACUGGACGGGGCUCAUUCGUGGGACUAUUCAGGACACCAACCAGUGGAACAUUCCUCCAGCAUACAGAGGCAGCGGCAAUGUUAACAGGUCAGCAAGAACUGGGACAAAAAUGUGUGUAAUUCACACCUCUGCCACUAGUGGGCAGUAAAUCCCAAAAUGUAGAGAACCGCCAAAACGUGUGACAGGCUGAAUAAAAUGAGCAGAAAAAAUGCAUUAGAUCAGGGGUGUCAAACAUGCGGCCCGCAGGCCAAAACUGGCCCUCCAGAUGGUCCAAUGUGGCCUGCAGGAUGACUUUACAAAAUGUCAGAGAGAAAAUAUUAACUGCAAACUGUAAACAUGUAAAACUAUAAAUUUAAAAGGAUUUCUAGACCAUGACAAGUUGUUUUGAUCAUAAAGUAAAAUACUAGAUUGUUCAUUGUUCUUUUGUCAUUUUGUGUCUCAUUUUUGAAAUAUUUUGUCUUGUUUUUGUAGUUUUUUGUCUUUUUUUGUCUGACUUUUGUCGCUUUGUGUUUCCUUUUUGUCUUGCUUGUGAUUUUUGACUUAUUUUUUGUUGCUUUGUAACGUUUUUGUCUAAUUUUAUGUCUUUUUUGUUUUGUUUCGUGUUGUUUAUCUUAUUUUUUGUCGUUUUGUGUCUCGUUUUUGUCAUUUUGUGUCUCAUUUUUGUAAUAUUUUGACUUGUUUUUGCUGUUUCUUGUCUUUUUUUGUCUGACUUUUGUAGUUUUAUUCAUAAAGUACUAUAUUGUUCGGUUGCAGUUGUAAUGUGUAAAUGAUGAACUGAGGCAUAAUGUUGCUGAAAUAGAAGUUAUUUUUCUUCAGUAAUUUCCGGUUGUUCAUAAUGUUUUGUGAAAAAGAUAAUUCCUUAAAUGUGAGCAUUUUCAGAGUGUACUUUUUUGUGCUAAAACGAAGGAAAAUUUGGAAUUGUAAUUAUUUAUAGGUUAUUAUGCUGUGAUUUUACUAGUCACUGGAGAUUAUAUUGGGCUGAAUGUGGCCCCUGAACUAAAAUGAGUUUGACACCCCUGUAUUAGGUUGCCACUUUUGAAAUGAAGAAAUCCAAGAAAGUAGUAGAAGUGUGACAACCUGAAACUUACCCAUCUCCAUCUAGAUGUAUGUUGGUGUCGCUCCACAGAGGCAGCACCAUCCCAAUAGAGCAACUUUUACUGUAGAUGAGAAAAUUAUUUUAGCUAAUCUGAUAAUCUGAUAAAAAUGUACAAAACAUACAGCUGCAGCAGACAGAUUGACUACCUGUCCUUGUCUGUGAAGUCCAUUCCCAGCACAAUGUUUUCCUCUGUGUCUUGAUGGCCGUUGGUAUAGAUAACAACCAUGUAGCGCACUCGAUCUGACCAUCCGCUCUCUAACCGCACAGCCUGCACGACAAAAGGAGGGUUUGAAAAAAGAAAAAGUGGUACAAUUAGAUGACAGUUCUCUGAAGUUGUUGUGUACGUCAUUGCACGACAAACCCACAAAGUAGGCCUCCAUUCUGGUCUUACUCCUGUUUUUAGCAAUGACUCACAGCAAAUCACUUCUAAAAUUACUUUAAAUAAAGGUUCUCAUCCAGA
Amphiprion ocellaris (clown anemonefish) is the source of this 2674-nucleotide long non-coding RNA. RefSeq lists it as uncharacterized. Lineage: Eukaryota; Metazoa; Chordata; Actinopteri; Pomacentridae. The record is from RefSeq and is a predicted model, not a curated record. The transcript has 5 exons.